CCCUCUAUCAACAUCUAGAAGCCUCUAUCGAAUAGAGCAUGGAGCCUCUAUAUAUACCGAAAUUCGGUGAUUGUUUCAGGUUGCCACAGAAAGUGCAGAAAUCCAUCAAGCAAAUAAUCGUAGCCCACCAGUGUACACCCUUCUACUGAGUUACUGAGCCAAAUCUUUAGAGUGAAAUAGAGAGAGAGAGAGAGAGAGAUUCAGGGAAGGGGAUUGUCACCUCAUCAUCUCAGCGGUUAGUUCUUUCUGAGCCGAUUUGCCUUCGAAUUUCUGGAUUAGGUAGCAUUUGAGGUGUUGUCAAUUGUGAAGCUGCUGCUGCUGCUGACAUUCCAAUUAUCUUUCUCAGGCCCAACAAAAGAGCUCCUCCUAAGUUAGUCGAACUUCAGUUGAUUAACCCUUGAGUCAAGUGAUGGCAUCUUCGAGUAGGACGAAGCGAGUGGAAAGAUUGUUUGGAGGGACUAAAUGUAAUAGUAUGUUUUUUGCGUGGAGAUGAAUUGGAUCAAGUUGAUUCAAAGAGAUGGAAAAGAACAUUCGAUAAUGCAUCCAAGGAAUAGCAGCCGUCAAAGACUUCUGAUACACCAAGUUUCACACCAAUUUAUUCAUUGUAAUCAGAACAUUUCCAUUUUGUACAAACCAAACCCUUUAUGUAAAAUAUUAUGGAAUACAAUGUAAACAAAUGAAAUCCCGCAGCAAAGCACGGGCAAAUCUUUCUAGUUUAUUCAAAAGAAGGGUUGCUCGUUCUCCUCUGUCCAAUUUGUACGAUAUUUUCUGAGUUUAUCGAGCAUGCUUUGUUCUUA
This is a long non-coding RNA of Rosa rugosa (rugosa rose), 797 nucleotides long. RefSeq lists it as uncharacterized. Lineage: Eukaryota; Viridiplantae; Streptophyta; Magnoliopsida; Rosales; Rosaceae. The transcript has 5 exons. The record is from RefSeq and is a predicted model, not a curated record.